UUAAAACCUUAAAACAAGUCAAAAUACAUAAGAAAACAUAUGUAUUACCCUUCUCGAGGGUUCCGACAACCGAGAUUCCACCAGACUACAGGAAUUCCGAGACCGGACUCGAGCCGGGUAUUACAACGGCGGUCCACAGAGUCUCUGAGAGCGCGGUCCCGGGCAUCCAUCUCCAUAAAAAUGCCCGUUGUCUGGCAAAAGAGAGAACAAAUGGAAUCAGAAAGUGAAG
RNAcentral lists this long non-coding RNA (229 nucleotides) under Manihot esculenta (cassava). Its description in RNAcentral is "long non-coding RNA (MESC_LNC000030)". Lineage: Eukaryota; Viridiplantae; Streptophyta; Magnoliopsida; Malpighiales; Euphorbiaceae. The record is from RNAcentral.